Long non-coding RNA from Lethenteron reissneri (Far Eastern brook lamprey), 603 nucleotides. RefSeq lists it as uncharacterized. Lineage: Eukaryota; Metazoa; Chordata; Hyperoartia; Petromyzontiformes; Petromyzontidae. The record is from RefSeq and is a predicted model, not a curated record.
CUCCCCCGCUGCUCUCGACGUUCAAAGUGAGCCGAGUCGAGGCGAGGAAGUCCCGUCCGCCUUGAGCGGCUCCACUCGUCAGGGAUGAGAUGUCACGCACGAGUGACGUCACACCGCAGCUGCCGCGUGAAGAGAUCCCCUGGGUUGCAAGUCCAGGCUGCGAACCAUUGCACCACGGCAUCGUGUACAUCACGCAGGUCGGUCGGCUGUGAGAGGGCUUUCUCUCUGCAAAACAACAUCAAGCCCGAGGAGUGGUUGCUCCUCUCGUGCAAGCAGUUGAACGCGCUUAUAGUUUGCGCCCGCGACAAGCCAAAACUCAGCAUCUUUCACGCCGAAGACGACAUGAAGCGCUGGAAGAAUGCGAAGAAGUGAAAGUACAUGUGCUCGUAAUCACGGCUCCGCAUUUGAAUAAAGUAUGUGGUUCUUGUGCGGAAAUGCGGAAAUCAUAUAUUCAUUCCAAUCAGUAACUCAAAGCCCUACGUGAUGCUGGGCCUUGCAUGUAUCCUUUCCAAUAGAACGCAUUAACGUGUUGUUAAAAGCGCGCGGUCAUAGGAGUAGUCUUUCCACCGUUUGCGGUUGACUUUAGCAAAAAUGCGGGAAAAU